UUGAACUAACCGACGAAUUAUGCAUAUAUGGGCUUAUAAUGGGCCUUAACUAGACUACUUGACUAUUUCUUAAAUAUGGGCCGAGAAACUGCAUUCGAAUCCCCAUAGAGACACGAAUCGAUUCCCGUUUCUACGCGGUAACAAAACCCUUUUCCCUUUUCCCUCCUCGUUGCUUUCCGAUCCACCCAAGUUUGUUCGAUCGAAACCCUCUUUCGAGUUCCCUCGAUCGCAGUUCUGCGGACGUCCUUGGAUCCAAGAAGGAGCGGGUGAAACCGGGUACGAUCGCCACCGCGGAUCCACUGGUCAUGCCGCGCAAGGGGGGGCGGGGGAUGUCGGUUCUCUCGCAGGCAGAUGUCUCGGGUUUCUCCCCCCACCAUGCGGCUCCCCGUCGCCAAUGGGUCGAUCCGGACACCUGGACGAGAAGGGUAUUUUUUACGUAUCAAUGGUCAUUCGAUUCCACAUCGACAGAAGCCCACUGGGGUCCCAAGGCUUGAAGCACCUUGUCAAUAGCAAGAGAGGCACUGCACCGAAGUCACUGUUUCUACUUGCGCCCGAAACUAACUAACAGGAUUGUUUCUUUCAACUUAUUGUUCCGUUGCUUGUUCAAUACAAUAAGAAUACUUGUUUGCCCAUGUUAGCACAACGGUAAACUCAUAACUUAUUGCCUGGUCUACUUAACCUAACAGGGUAAAGUGCAGAAAAGGGACAAAUAUGUAUUAUGAAAAUUUUAAAAGUAUUUUUGCUACAA
Molecule: long non-coding RNA, 748 nt
Organism: Musa acuminata AAA Group (dessert banana)
Lineage: Eukaryota; Viridiplantae; Streptophyta; Magnoliopsida; Zingiberales; Musaceae
Exons: 2
Source: RefSeq, a predicted model, not a curated record